CCUACGGGAGGCAGCAGUGGGGGAUAUUGCACAAUGGGGGAAACCCUGAUGCAGCGACGCCGCGUGAGUGAAGAAGUAUUUCGGUAUGUAAAGCUCUAUCAGCAGGGAAGAAAAUGACAGUACCUGACCCAGAAGCCCCGGCUAACUACGGGCCAGUAGCCGCGUUAAUACGUAGGGGGCACGCGUUAUCCGGAUUUACUGGGUGUAAAGGGAGCGUAGACGGUUAUGUAAGUCUGGAGUGAAAGCCCGGGGCCCAACCCCGGGACGGCUUUGGAAACUGUGUAACUUGAGUACAGGAGGGGCAGGCGGAAUUCCUGGUGUAGCGGUGAAAUGCGUAGAUAUCAGGAGGAACACCGGCGGCGAAGGCGGCCUGCUGGACUGAAACUGACGUUGAGGCUCGAAAGCGUGGGGAGCAAACAGGAUUAGAUACCCGAGUAGUC
This 440-nucleotide ribosomal RNA is filed under the name uncultured bacterium. RNAcentral describes it as "partial 16S ribosomal RNA". It matches the Rfam family "Bacterial small subunit ribosomal RNA", at positions 338 to 795 of the family's 1533-position model. The record is from RNAcentral.